CCACACCGCCCUGCCCGACACAUCGGAUGGGCUUCCCAACGGGCUCAGCAGGAGGACACGUGUCGCUGGCAGCCCGGGUAGCUCAGUGAUGCCUCGUUCCUGUUUCACUCCUGGUGCCCACACAAGCCACCAGGAAAACGCUGGAGCCCUGCGACUGGAUACAAGGUAGCCAGGACACAUGGUGGCUGGUAGAUGCAUGAGCAGCGAGCUGGAUGGGAGUGGAGCAGCCGGGACUCAAACCAGUGACCCUGUGAGAUGCUGGCACUGCAGACGCUGACUUCUAACACAGAGAACAUGAAAGCAGUUGAAACAUGCAGAAAAACAGAAAAGUUGCUUUGAGUUUCUGCAUUUCACAGCCACGGGGCGACUCCGCGUUCCCUGUUGUGGCCUGAAUUGAAAGCAGCUCCUCGAUGGUCCGUGGUGUUGCCCACACCCGCUGCCUCGCUCACCCCACUCACAACGCACCUGCUGUCGGCAGUGACGACGGAAAACAACUUAAACGUCCAGUAAUACUCACCGUCCCAAGUCCCAUUAGACACAAGAUCUUCCAGUGACAUUCAAGCUCUGUAACGCCGCUUAAGAGAAAUGACCACAGAUGGCAAGUUGCUUAUUA
This is a long non-coding RNA of Ochotona curzoniae (black-lipped pika), 613 nucleotides long. RefSeq lists it as uncharacterized. NCBI's taxonomy places the organism in Eukaryota, Metazoa, Chordata, Mammalia, Lagomorpha, Ochotonidae. The record is from RefSeq and is a predicted model, not a curated record. The transcript is spliced from 4 exons.